Molecule: unclassified non-coding RNA, 387 nt
Filed under: soil metagenome
Description: partial contains 5.8S ribosomal RNA, internal transcribed spacer 2, and large subunit ribosomal RNA
Rfam family: 5.8S ribosomal RNA (bases 1-120)
Source: RNAcentral
GAUGAAGAACGCAGCGAAAUGCGAUAAGUAGUGUGAAUUGCAGACUUUAGUGAAUCAUCGAAUCUUUGAACGCACCUUGCGCUCCUUGGUAUUCCGAGGAGCAUGCCUGUUUGAGUGUCAUGAAAUUCUCAACCUUUUCAGCUUUCUUUGUUGAUCAGGCUUGGAUGUGGGAGUAUGCGGGCUUCUCAGAAGUCGGCUCUCCUGAAAUGCAUUAGCGGGACCUUUGUUGCCUGGCUUUGGUGUGAUAAUUAUCUACGCCAUUGUAGUCAAGCAGCUUAAAAUGAGGUUUCAGCUUCUAACCGUCUCCCCUGAGACAACUUUUUGACAAUUUGACCUCAAAUCAGGUAGGACUACCCGCUGAACUUAAGCAUAUCAAUAAGCGGAGGA